AUUGAACGCUGGCGGCAGGCUUAACACAUGCAAGUCGAGCGGGGUGAUGGUGCUUGCACUAUCACUUAGCGGCGGACGGGUGAGUAAUGCUUAGGAAUCUGCCUAUUAGUGGGGGACAACAUCUCGAAAGGGAUGCUAAUACCGCAUACGUCCUACGGGAGAAAGCAGGGGAUCACUUGUGACCUUGCGCUAAUAGAUGAGCCUAAGUCGGAUUAGCUAGUUGGUGGGGUAAAGGCCUACCAAGGCGACGAUCUGUAGCGGGUCUGAGAGGAUGGUCCGCCACGCUGGGACUGAGACACGGCCCAGACUCCUACGGGAGGCAGCAGUGGGGAAUAUUGGACAAUGGGGGGAACCCUGAUCCAGCCAUGCCGCGUGUGGGAAGAAGGCCUUAUGGUUGUAAAGCACUUUAAGCGAGGAGGGGGCUCUUUUGGUUAAUACCCAAGAUGAGUGGACGUUACUCGCAGAAUAAGCACCGGCUAACUCUGUGCCAGCAGCCGCAGUAA
This 503-nucleotide ribosomal RNA is filed under the name uncultured bacterium. Its description in RNAcentral is "partial 16S ribosomal RNA". It matches the Rfam family "Bacterial small subunit ribosomal RNA", at positions 30 to 523 of the family's 1533-position model. The record is from RNAcentral.